Molecule: long non-coding RNA, 3660 nt
Filed under: Coffea arabica (coffee)
Lineage: Eukaryota; Viridiplantae; Streptophyta; Magnoliopsida; Gentianales; Rubiaceae
Description: long non-coding RNA (CARA_LNC000564)
Source: RNAcentral
CCAAGUCAAAAUAGCUUCCAUUCCUUCUUAUUUCCAUUCAGCUUAACCAAAAGCCAAUUUCCCCUUUCUUCACUUCAUGUUGGAGCCGAGAGAGAGAAGAGAGUUGAGAAAAAAAAAACUUCAUCCUCUCCUUCUUAUCAUCAGUCAAGAGUUAAGGCUGAUUUAGCCAUGGUAAUUCCACAAAAUCUCCCUAUUUCGUCAAGCCUAAACCAUGAGUGAGAAAGAGACAAGAAAGCCAUAUUGGGAGGUGAAGAAAACGGAGGAAACCUGGACCGAAGGAGAAGGAAGUGGACAGCCUGCAUUUUUUUUUCCAGCUUGCUUGAACCAUGGAGGAAUCAAGAAGGUGAGCCAACUUCUAGCUUGAUUUGUGGCAGAAAAAUAAGGUAAUAUGGCUGAAAAACUUCAAUCUUUCCUUAUACUUUAAAAAGAUGUGAAUACAUGUUUGAUUUGAAGUUUGAUAGAGGUAGAAACUAGUGGAAGUAGCUUGUUUGUAGCUGGAAAGUUUCCAGGUUGAAUCGAACUAGUCAAGGCUGCCAUCUCUUUUAGCUUUUGGUUUAUUUUGCUGGAUGUUUGCUAGGGAAUCAGUUAUUCUUUUGAUAGCUGAAUAUUGGCAGAAAUAUUUCAUGUAUGCAAUAGUUUUGGCUGCUGGAAUUUUUAGGAGGAAGCCGAGAGAGUUGAGCUAUCAAUUUUCAACCCUUAUUUGCAAUUUUUGUUAAGUUUUGCUAGGAAAUGCUCGAUUAAUACCAUACCUUAUAUUAUAAACAUGUGAUUGUAUGACUUCUGGAUGAAGCUAAGUAAGAAAGGUGUUGUUUUGAUGAGAAAAAAAAAAGUGAAGACAGCUUGAGGAAAAUUGGAGGAACUUUGCUCCAUCCUUGUCACAGCUUGCUGUCUCGUCCGUUUGAGGAGUUUCCACUAGGAAGUCACACUCUAACUGUUAUAUUUCUUGUUUUGUAUGAUAUAUAGCAUGUUGGUUUUGAUCUUGGCUGCAAAUUGCUGGUUUAGAGGUGAGAUUUGCAGAGAUAAAGUUGAAAUAACUCUUGUGAAAGCUGGAAAUUCGGGUAACAGUUACCUCUGGACAGUUUUAGUAAACGGAUCAUAACUUAGUGUAGAAAAAUCAAAAUUGAGUGCCGUCAAUUGUGUUUGAAACUAUACUCAUAGAUCUUUCCAACGGUAUAAAAUUGGAGCUGUGGUUCGUUUUAUAUAUGCACCAGAAAAUCAGCAAAGUUGACUGAAAAAUCGGUCGUGAACAAGUAAAAAUUGGGAUGUUGUGGUAACUUGUGACUCAAUUUGGAUUAACUUAUGAACCAAAUAUCCUUGAGAUGUCUUCUAAAAAUUGUUAGUAUUUCAAGUCUAGUUUUAAACAAGAUAAUUUGUAUGAGUUUUUGACAUUUAUAACUUAAGUUAUGAUUUUUCCAAAGAAAGAAUGCUUGCUGGAAUUUCAGCUUUGAUCGCUAAAUUUUUCAAGAUGAUGUUAAGCUCAAUUUGCUCAAAACACCCUAGAAGACUUUUAAACUACAAGUAUGUGUUGGAAAUGAACCAAAACCAUGGACCUUAAGUGGUUUAAACUCCAUUUAUUUCACUGUUUUCAUGGCUGGAAUUCUCCUUGAGGCUGACCGAAAGAGAGAGUGAUUUUAUUUAGCUUUAUUCUUGGUUUUGUGUGGUGAAAUCAACUUGUUAAUGUCCUAAACACGUGAUUAAACAUUAACUUUGGUAUGAGUAGUGAAUUGGAGUAGAAAAUGAAAGGUUUUGGGAGGUGAAAACUUCACUUUUACAUGUUUCAUGUCCCAAGCAAUAAAUUUCCCGUUUUAGUUAAGGAAAAUGAAAAUGAGUGUUAAAACGCUAAUAUCAUGUUUACUAUAUAUUUUAGCCAUGUCAUGUAAUUUUUCCAGCUUGCAUAUGUUCCAUUUGUUUGCUUAUGGAAAUUUAAGCUUGUGGAGUUGAACUUUUGCUUGAUGGCCAGCCUUGGUAUGGAGACAUGUGAGCUGAAUACUUGUCUAUUUUUUGGGGCUUUAUGGUCUAAAACUAGUAGCUUGUACAGCCUAUCAUUUGUGGUCUUGAUUUGGAUGGUUUGGCCAUGAAAUUUUGUAUUGAAUUUGGAGAGGAAAUAUAGGAUAAAACAGGGGUUAUGCUGUCCAAAUUUUGGGGCAGCUUACUACCUUGAUUUUGGACUGAUUUGGUGAUGUACUUGCCUAAUAUGCUUAGUGAACCUUUAAGCUUUGCUUAUGUAUUGCAUUUUCGUUGAAAUGGAAGGGUUUCAUUGCGAUUUUCUUCCAAAUUGCUGGCUAAAAUUGUGCUUGUUUGUCGAUGGAGAGUGCAGCCUAUUACAUUGUUGUUUUUCUAACCUUUUAGUAAUUGGUUUUGGCCAAAACUUGUUCCAAACUUUGGAGGAGCCUUUUGUGCGUGAAUUUGAAUGAAAACUAUGAAGAUUGGGAGGUGACCUCAUGAUUGUACUUGUUUCAUGGCUGCAAAAAAUUCUGAUUUGGAGGGCAGUUUUGCACCUUGCUACCUUUUAGCCUCAACGUCUUUAGUUUGAAAGUCUUUUGGACACAACCUCGCUGACUUGACUUGAGAAAACCUUGUUUCUUUCAUUGGUUCGCCGCUGGAAAAUUUCCCACCAUGAAGCGAAUAAGGAACUUGUUGGUUAUUCAUGUUUCUUGAGUCCAAAAUGCUCUUAUACGCUUCAAAACCCUACUUGAGUUUUUGCCCUAGAGUAUACUUAAAUUUUCCUUGAUUUGCAUUCUAAAUAUGGCUAUGUAUGUUGGGUUUUGAAAAAAAAAAUUAAAUUAACUUGGUGAGGUAUACGACUCAUAGUCGAGUCUAAAUUAUGAAUUCUGUUCACUUGGUUAUUCUUAGGGCUUGUCUGAUCAAGGGGGCAAUCCAGGAGGAAACUUUCGACACUAUUUGUGCUUGAACUAGUGAGUGUUCCAACUGCAAGUUCCAUGCUACUUGUUGCGAAAAUAUGACUUGUUACUUGAAUUGACUUGUUAUUACAUAGGUGAGUGUGUACUUUAUGACACUCGACCUAACUUGACUGAAUUCCUGUUUUACUACUAUAAGUGAAUUGUUUACAAGCGAACUGAGAUUCAUGCGCAUGAGUUGAAUGUAACGGUCUGGAUCCUAAACCCCAUAGGCUAGUUAAUCGAGUCGAGCCGGCAAGGGCCUGGUCGAUUAGAUAACGAACCCUGGGUCUACUGUUUUGUUGAAUGGAGUGUUAUCUCCUCGACUAAUUGGUAUACUCGAGUAUUACCACCACUGUUUAUGUUUGGAGUUCGGGCCCGGUAGGGUGUUGAUUGGUGGAUGGAGGUUGGAGUUAAGUGGUGAUCUACUGGACUUGUUAUGAUUCCAUGGUUGACGGAGUGUCAACAGAUUCUGAACAAGUUGUCACGGAACCUGUUCCCGAGAACAGACUGUAUCCUUUUAUAUGCAUGUGUUAUCGGCUGUACACGGUUAAAUGAGUUCUCUGGAUGUGACGUUCUUUAUGGAAAAUGUGAUCAUGCUAUCAUAUGAAUGCUAAAAUGCCUAAUUGCUUGUUGUUCUCUUGGAACCUCACUGAGCUUUUAGCUCAUCCCUUCAUUUGUUUUCCUUAACAGGGUACGGGGAUGACAAGGACAAGAAUAGUGCUAGUUGUAAUAGGAAAUCUUAAUCUUGUAUUUGGACGGC